GCCGCCGUUAACCGCUUAGGCGCCGCGACCCCCGCGCUCGGGUCUCGCCUCCUCCCCGCGCCUUCCUCUGCCCGGCCUGCAAGCUUACUCUGGUUUUAUAGGUAAUAAAGACACUUGUGCUAGGGGAGGGGUCCAGCGGGCCCUCUACCGCUGUCGUGAGAAACGUGUGUAAUGGUCACGGCUUCACCCGCCACGGGGGCUGGGAGACAGUAGUUCAAAACGGUUGCAAACAAUGUGAUUAAUCUACCCGGCGCCAUGCAAAUAAAGACCUUGUUCAAAAAUGGAACAUGAGAGGUGAAUUAUUAACUCUAAAGCCAACAGGAUGUCAAUGGACGGCAUAACACGCAUUGCACUAGACCGGGCACUCACGGUCACAGACUCGCGCUCCCUGUGUUUGCGUAGCUCUUCCCGCAAGAGGCCUCUGGAAGGAGUCGCCACUGCCGAGCCCACGCGCACGAAGGGCGGGUGCUGUUGUAGCCACCUGGCUUGCAUGGAGCUCCCAACACCCCGCCGGGGCCGGGCACAGGAGGGCACGCACCGGUGCUCGAGGAGCCCGCAGAGGUCAACGAGCCCUACCAGCCCAGGAGCCAGAGUUUGAAAUCUUGUGGUUCAUCAAGUGCUGAGGCUGGAAAUGCCGUUAGUUACUGGCAGCGCGAUACCGGCAGUGAAAAGGCUUGUCGGAGGCCAUGGUAACAAAAAAUAAUUGUUCCUCUCUCAAAGUGCUUAUAAUUUAUACAAGAGUAAACAUGAAUGUAAGAAGCAGGGAGCUCAAGCUAUACUACAUAACAUUUGAAGAUGGCUUUACACAUGACAAGAUGGUUCUAAGAGUUACAAAAGAAGAGUGCAGCUGCCCUUGACUCCAUCCUCGGCUGCUUCUCAGCAGAGCUAAGCCAGACAUGAGGUGUGAGGGGAAUAGGUGGGAGGAAAUCAGUGGAGAAAAUGCAGGUGGAAGAACGUUAUGAGGGCUCCAAAAGUUAUGAACUGGGAAGAGAAGAGCACCUGGGGAAGAAGGUCUCAGCACCUAAACAUGAGUUUCCUGUACUGAAGAAUGAAAUUCCCAGUAUCAAACAGAAAGUGGUUGGUGUUUUGUCUAAGUGUCAGAAAAUAAGUUACCUCUAAAAAUUUGUUUCCUAAUGUAUAAGUUUCAGUCUACCAUUUCUUCAUAUUUUUCCAGUCCAGGCAGCAGAGGUGAAAUCCCAAACUUAGAGUGGCCUGGGUUUUGUGCUUGAAUUUACAAUAUGAGUUUUCAGUCAUGCCAAACCCGAGUGGAGAUGGAAAUCUCUGUUAUAAGAAUCAUGAGCAAUCAGAAUUGCUGUAAACAGUCCUAUUGAUUUUAAUAGUUGAAAAUCUCAGCUCAGCAAGAGCAUUUCUAUUAUGAUAAAGUAUGGAGAUAUAUACAUACAUACAAGCUUUGUGCCUAAAAUUAGAUUGUGAGAUCUCUGGAUAGGAUCUUAAGUCUCUCACUUCUGGAAAGCAUCUCUACUCAGAAGAGAAUUCAAAUGUGUUAGAUUUAAACAUAAGGGUAAGUGCUUUCCUGAUUUUAGGCAGUAAAAAUGUGUUCUUCAAAGAUGCUGAGCCUCCAGUAGGACCAAAUGAAUCAGUUAAGAGAUUCUGGGACUGCUAGUUUAGAUUCCUAUUUCUGAAAAUCAUGGCUCAUUUUGUAAUUAUAGUUGCACAUGAAAAACAUGAACCAUAGCAUACAUAGAAAAGGAAAUGUAUUGCUUAUAAAUGUAUAACUAAUGGGUCUGAGACCAAAACUUCAGUCAUUGUAAGUCAAAAUAAAGUCAUGACCUUUAGUG
Aquila chrysaetos chrysaetos is the source of this 1799-nucleotide long non-coding RNA. RefSeq lists it as uncharacterized. NCBI's taxonomy places the organism in Eukaryota, Metazoa, Chordata, Aves, Accipitriformes, Accipitridae. The transcript is spliced from 2 exons. The record is from RefSeq and is a predicted model, not a curated record.